RNAcentral lists this ribosomal RNA (268 nucleotides) under Dondersiidae sp. 4-SB FSB-2019. RNAcentral describes it as "partial large subunit ribosomal RNA". The record is from RNAcentral. Lineage: Eukaryota; Metazoa; Mollusca; Solenogastres; Pholidoskepia; Dondersiidae.
GGAGAAAUCUAAACGGCCGCGGAAUUUUAACCGUGCUAAGGUAGCAUAAUCAUUUGUUCUUUAAUUAAGGACUUGUAUGAAUGGUUAAACGAAAUAAAGCUAUCUAUAAAGUAUUAAAUWAAAAUUAUUUUUAAAGUGAAAAAUCUUUAAUACAGUAAAAAGACAAAAAGACCCUAUAGAGUUUUAUUCAUCACUAUAAAUAAAUAUAAAUGAAUUUAGUUGGGGCAACUAAUGAAAAAAGAAAUUUCUUUUUAUUAGCUAAAAAUAU